UUUGAUCUCAUGCAGAUGUUUUCAGAGACUAGCUCAGAACCCAAAGUGGAUGAGCAUCAACCUCCAGUCUUUGAAAAAACGGUAAAGGAAGAUGUGGAACAUGUUCUUUCAGAAACAUUGAGUGGUUUGAAACUUGAGGAGUUUGAGAAAUUUAAGUGGGUGCUGCAGCUCACAUACUUCCAGAGGAGUUUUACACGAAUCCAG
This is a non-coding RNA of Labrus bergylta (ballan wrasse), 204 nucleotides long. The record is from RefSeq and is a predicted model, not a curated record. Lineage: Eukaryota; Metazoa; Chordata; Actinopteri; Labriformes; Labridae.